This 69-nucleotide transfer RNA is filed under the name Sturnira bakeri. RNAcentral describes it as "tRNA-His". It matches the Rfam family "tRNA". From Rfam's summary of the family: Transfer RNA (tRNA) molecules are approximately 80 nucleotides in length. Their secondary structure includes four short double-helical elements and three loops (D, anti-codon, and T loops). Further hydrogen bonds mediate the characteristic L-shaped molecular structure. tRNAs have two regions of fundamental functional importance: the anti-codon, which is responsible for specific mRNA codon recognition, and the 3' end, to which the tRNAs corresponding amino acid is attached (by aminoacyl-tRNA synthetases). tRNAs cope with the degeneracy of the genetic code in two manners: having more than one tRNA (with a specific anti-codon) for a particular amino acid; and 'wobble' base-pairing, i.e. permitting non-standard base-pairing at the 3rd anti-codon position. The record is from RNAcentral. Lineage: Eukaryota; Metazoa; Chordata; Mammalia; Chiroptera; Phyllostomidae.
GUAAGUAUAAUUUAACUAAAAUAUUAGAUUGUGAAUCUAAAAAUAGAAGCUCAACCCUUCUUACUCACC